AUGCUGUGCUCCCGACUCCUCAUCGGGGCUUUCUCUGUCCUUCGGCUCAGAGAGGAGGCAUCGCCCCACGACAAGGUAGGGUUUCCUCCGCUGGAGACACAGCACAUUCUGACUCACCUAGAGAAUCAUGGCAUCUCGAGGCUACAAGAGACUUUACGGGGGUCAUCUGACCCGCUGCCAACUGGAAAGUGGAGUUUGGUACGGCAGAUGUCUCCAACUUCAGAAGAGAAACUGAGGUACAGAGAGUUUAAGCAACGUGCUCACAAGUUAUUUAGGUGAGUAACUUAGAAAAGUGAAUGGAGGGGCGCCUGGGUGGCUCAGUCGGUUGAGCGUCCGACUUCGGCCAGGUCAUGAUCUCACAGUUUGUGAGUUCGAGCCCCGCGUCGGGCUCUGUGCUGACGGCUCAGAACCUGGAGCCUGCUUCCGAUUCCCUGUCUCCCUCGCUCUCUGCCCCUCCCCCCACACGCUCUGUCUCUCUCUGCCUCUCGAAAAUAAAGAAAACUAAUAAAAAAUUUUUUCUUUGCA
This 525-nucleotide long non-coding RNA is filed under the name Felis catus (domestic cat). RNAcentral describes it as "lncRNA (ENSFCAG00000042958.2)". The record is from RNAcentral. Lineage: Eukaryota; Metazoa; Chordata; Mammalia; Carnivora; Felidae.